This 675-nucleotide long non-coding RNA is filed under the name Malus domestica (apple). Its description in RNAcentral is "long non-coding RNA (MDOM_LNC019013)". Lineage: Eukaryota; Viridiplantae; Streptophyta; Magnoliopsida; Rosales; Rosaceae. The record is from RNAcentral.
UUGUACCGUUCUAGGUACAACUCAUAUCAAUGUUUUUCAUACAAUAUGAAAUACAUAAAUCACCUUUCUACGUAUGCAUAAAGGAUUCUAUUUACGCAUUAUUUCUUUGGGAGUCAAAGGGUACGUUCCCUUUGAGAAGGGCAACUUGCUAGUCUCACUAGAGUCGUCCUUCUAAUUGAAGUUUAUCAUCAUAUGAGAAACUUCCUAGCAUCUUUUUGUCUAUUAUUAGGGAUUGAUAUAAUCCAAUUAUAUCUUGAAAUAUAUCAUUAUAGAUUUCCAUCCCAUGUAUAUAGACUAUGUCUCCCAUAUCCAUUCUAUCAUUAUAGAAUGUUUAAAGUCAUAACUUUAACGAAGAAGUAUUCUUUUCAUUUCCAAAAUUAAUAUAUAUAUCAUAUAUAUAUUCAAUUUUUAGGAAUAUGAUUAACUCCCACUAAUCUUUUGUAAACUUAGUAAACAAAAGAUUCAUUUACAUCUUUAUGAGAAAUCAAACGAUUUGAUCCUUUCUCUCAUAAGACGCUUAUAGCUCCCACUAGCUUGCUAAGAUUCAUGAUGGAUGGAUCUCUACAACUUACAUGUCUUGUGAUUCAUAGUUUUAGACAUAUAUAUUAUCAAGACUAUCUUAAUAAUGGUUUCGGAAACCCAUAUUAUGUCCAAACAUUGAAUCACCAUUUAGUU